Megalopta genalis is the source of this 2549-nucleotide long non-coding RNA. RefSeq lists it as uncharacterized. NCBI's taxonomy places the organism in Eukaryota, Metazoa, Arthropoda, Insecta, Hymenoptera, Halictidae. The record is from RefSeq and is a predicted model, not a curated record.
CCCAUGCCAAGAACAGUUAUGAACAGGACUGCUGGCGUAGUUGGCGUGUUUGCGAUAAAAAGCUAGUUCCCGAUCUUUCGACGUUAGUUCCCCGUUCCUGCGCUCCGAUCGACGCCGAUCGGAUAGAGAAGUUGGAAGGAGGACCAGGGGGGGGGGGCGCCGAAAAACGUGAACGAUAAUAUUCGGCUCGUUCGAACUUGCGAGAAGGAUCGGAAGAAGAGAACUCUACGUACGGAUGUUGCGAAUCGAAUUCCAGUUUGUUCGGAAUCGAUAACGACAACGGGUCGUGAGAAAGAGAGAAGCGAAUCGAUGAAGGAAAUGUGCGGUUGGGCGGCCUGCUUCUUGUCUCUGCGCCGCGACGAAUUCCGUCGGAGGAGUCAGCCACUCACCGAACCUGACGAUCAACGAAGGAUUAUGGUCUCUCCUCUCGAAAUUCUAAUAUUAGCGCAGAGCAUUCUCCAGUCGAUACUCUAGACAUCCACCACCACUACCACUGGUUGGCACGCGCGCGCGAGCAAGCGAUCACGGAACGUGGUGCACGUACAUGCGUUCGAAGGCGUGUGCGUGGGGACCCGUGGUAUAACGUAGAGGCACACUGAGGAAAACGCUACAGCGUCACGGCGGCUCACCUUUCCACAAGACGAUUUCGCGGCCUAACGUGGUACAAGCUUCUGUCUCGGAAAGGACGAUCGCCGGCCACGGGAGAGUCAUCGCCACCGUACUGCCACGAUCAUACACGCGUUCUAAUACACACUUUUCCUCUGGCUCCUUUAACACCGCUGUUCGAACGUCGAAGCGCGCACACGCCGCACGGGCAUUACGCCACAAAACACGGAGCACUUGAUUAGAGGCGAAACUCUAACGUUUCCGAAGAUCUAAUUUUCCACUACGCAUGCGUAGGCUAGAGAAGCUACGAACUAUGGGAGAAGCGAAGUGGGAUACGAUUUAAAACAAACAGAAGACCUUUUACGAACGGUGUGGCGCUAUCUACAGCAACUCAUCGGCACUCGUUAAUCAUGUCAUCUCACGACACGAUCGGUAAAUCGAUUUUCAACUAAUAGUACAAAAGAUCGUGAUUUAUGACGCUUUGAAUAAUUAAUAAUAAUUAUUAAUAAUAAUAAUUACAGUAUCCAGCAUAUUAUUUGUGUACAUAUAAUUAAUAGGCGAUCUGCGUAGUAUUUUGUGCACUGAAUACAAAUCUAAAAGCCACUUUCCUUCAUUAGCGUUAGUUUUAGGCAACGUUAGUUUCAGAGAAGAUGGAACAUGUUCAAGCAAUUCUUGAAACGAACCAGAUGUCUAGCACAAAGAGUUUUAGAAAUUAAAUGAAGACAGGUUUUGUGAAAAUAGAAUUUACAAGAACAGAUUAAUUUUGCAGUAAGUAUUUUUCUACUUUCGAUGAAUAAGAUAGGAAGGGGAAAAUAUAUAAAAAAAAACGUUAAUAUCGUGAAGAUGAACAUUGUAAAAUAGUCUUACUAAUGGUCAGUAUGCAUAUCGGACACAGUGAGAAUGCUAAAUAUUUUCUGCACUAUCCUCAUUAAUCAACAACACUUUCUCUCGAGCGGAGAUAGUUGAACGUUAAACGUAAUUCGUGCAUGAUCCAACUUUCUGUAUGCUAUGUUAAGCUUUUGCGAUACAGACGAAUUCGAAUGUUUAAGAGUUCAAUUUCAUUCUUUUAUCUUUAGCGAUCAAUAAUUUUUGUUGCUACGUUUGACAAUUCAUUUCAAUCGACAAAUUAGACCGAAUCUUUAAUCUGUAUCUAGUGUACACUAAUUAAAUUGCAUCUUCGGUGUAUGCUAAAAAAAUAAUAAAUCUGCAACGUCAUUAUCAGAAGAAAAGUUAACGGUGAAGACAGUUUUAUUUCCCAAUCGAUGUAUGUCUUUAUCUCUUCCGUAAAGGUAAACGAGAAUGCAACGACUUUUUCCCGGCAGUGAGUAGAACCGGUUCAAGGGGUAAACCAGGUUUUGCCUUGCGCGUGAAAAACGCGAACAUUUUUUCGCGAAUAUGUCGCAAGAGGUCUAUGGCCUCAUGUUACUAUCUUUAUUAACUAUACGGGAUAUUUCAUAAUUCGUGGUACAAAUUGGGUCACAGAUAAAUUCUCUAACUGGAAAUAAGACGGAAAUCAAGACUAACGAAAUUGUAUGGAAGGCUUCGCGUUUUCAAGAACAUUAAAUUUAAAUAUCAAUCGAGUAUAUGCGUUCUUAACAAAUAACCAAUAUCAUGGAUUUCACUAUAGGCUGUUUGAACAUAAUGUUCCAAUUCGAUGCGAGUUGAGAAUAAUCAUAUUUUGAUAAUAAAAAUAUUUUGAUAUAUUUGUACCAUCUACAAAAAUGGUCGCAACAGCGGUUUGUAGACAUAAACUUCGAAUUGUUUCGCCUUGGAUUACCCGACUUCUUGGAACCAUUGGUAAAACGGCCAUCCUUCGUUGACGAUGUUUAUUGUUAGUUUUACCAUCGUUCGAAAUCUACCGCCACGCCGGUUCAUAGACAUUUGUAAUUGAGAGUUUAACUUAAAUCAACAGAUUAAAAUAAAAUUUAUUAUAUUAUUUGUGA